This 301-nucleotide ribosomal RNA is filed under the name uncultured bacterium. RNAcentral describes it as "partial 16S ribosomal RNA". It matches the Rfam family "Bacterial small subunit ribosomal RNA", at positions 509 to 807 of the family's 1533-position model. The record is from RNAcentral.
CAGCAGCCACGGUAAUACGGAGGGCGCGAGCGUUACCCGGAUUUACUGGGCGUAAAGGGCGUGUAGGCGGCCUGGGGCGUCCCAUGUGAAAGGCCACGGCUCAACCGUGGAGGAGCGUGGGAUACGCUCAGGCUAGAGGGUGGGAGAGGGUGGUGGAAUUCCCGGAGUAGCGGUGAAAUGGGCAGAUACCGGGAGGAACGCCGAUGGCGAAGGCAGCCACCUGGUCCACUUCUGACGCUGAGGCGCGAAAGCGUGGGGAGCAAACCGGAUUAGAUACCCCAGUAGUCCCUGUCUCUUAUAC